This 731-nucleotide long non-coding RNA is filed under the name Equus caballus (horse). RNAcentral's name for it is "lncRNA (ENSECAG00000045898.1)". Lineage: Eukaryota; Metazoa; Chordata; Mammalia; Perissodactyla; Equidae. The record is from RNAcentral.
CUUUUCUGACACACCUGAACCCUUGUUAAUGUGGCUGAAGUGCCAUUUCCACUCAGAAGCCAGGAUCUGGUUUCGCCGUGCUUGGCCUCCCUCCCAGAGUUGAGUCAUGAAUGGAGGUUUGGCAUCCUCCAGGGCUGAAGGUGUCCUUGUUCAGUCUCUCAACUGCUGCUUUCUCAGUGUUCUCAGUUACUGAGUAACUGCCAUUUCCUUGUUGUCAGUACUUCGUACUCCGCGUAAGUCAGGAUUCAAGCUCUUCUCUCUAUUCGCUUCUUUUUAUUCAUCCAUUCAUUCAGUAGCUAUUUAUUACGACCCCACUACGGCCAGGGCGCUGUUGAAGAUGCUGGGGAAUGCAGCAGUGAGCAAGAAUGCAGCUCGUCCUUGAACUGUUUCAUCCAGUUUGGGAAAAUGUUGCUCUAUAGUGAUAUUCACAAGUGUGAGCAGUUGUGAAGCUAGUGGCAUUUAUCCCCUGGAAGAGGGCCACACCAGUGUGAAACCUGUGUCACCCUGUGUGAGGACAGUUUGACGUGAGGAGCUGUGACAUCCCGGUUGCUAACAUGUCUUCUCUCAUUCACCACGCACUUGCUCCUUCCCAAUUCACAAAACUUGUACCUAAAAUUUGGGAAAUAAAAAUAUAUUUUUAAAACUGGUGACUUUUGAAGGGAAAUAUUGCAAGCUCUAUUUUAAUUUCUAAGGCUGUAGAAGUCAGAGGAAAAAGAAAAAUAAAGAAAAAG